This 253-nucleotide ribosomal RNA is filed under the name uncultured bacterium. Its description in RNAcentral is "partial 16S ribosomal RNA". It matches the Rfam family "Bacterial small subunit ribosomal RNA", at positions 524 to 776 of the family's 1533-position model. The record is from RNAcentral.
UACGUAGGGUGCAAGCGUUAAUCGGAAUGACUGGGCGUAAAGGGUGUGUAGGUGGCAGAGUAAGUAAAUAGUGAAAGCGUGUGGCUCAACCAUACUCACAUUAUUUAAACUGCUCAGCUUGAAGAUGAGAGAGGUCACUGGAAUUCCAAGUGUAGGAGUGAAAUCCGUAGAUAUUUGGAGGAACACCGAUGGCGUAGGCAGGUGACUGGCUCAUUCUUGACACUAAGGCACGAAAGCGUGGGGAGCAAACGGG